RNAcentral lists this unclassified non-coding RNA (153 nucleotides) under uncultured Xylariales. Its description in RNAcentral is "sequence contains ITS1". Lineage: Eukaryota; Fungi; Ascomycota; Sordariomycetes; Xylariales. The record is from RNAcentral.
AAGAGUUGUAAAACUCCCAAACCCAUGUGAACAUACCUCUGUUGCCUCGGUGGCCUACCCGGUAGCUACCCUGUAGUUACCCUGUAGUCCGCCGACGGACCACAACAAACUCUUUGUUUUAAUAUAUCUCUGAGAAAAACUUUUAAUAAGUCA